GGUGUCUCCAUAAGACUUUCACUGAUGUGAUUGCCUUAUUUCUGAGUUGUUGCACUUUUCGAUCCAGAAUGGCUUCGGGUUCUUCAUAGCUCAAAUCUGGGCUAAGAAUCAUCAAUUCUUGGUGGAUCAUAUACUUCGGAUCGAAAACGUAUUUCCUAAGUUGUGAUCAUGGAAGACAUUGUGAACGUUUCCAAAGCUUGGCGGUAACGCCAACAUGUAGGCUACUGGACCUAUCAUCUCGAGGAUUUCAUAUGGUCCUAUAAAUCGGGGCCUAAGCUUUCCUUUGACACCAAACCUA
RNAcentral lists this long non-coding RNA (298 nucleotides) under Salvia miltiorrhiza (redroot sage). RNAcentral describes it as "long non-coding RNA (SMIL_LNC008564)". The record is from RNAcentral. Lineage: Eukaryota; Viridiplantae; Streptophyta; Magnoliopsida; Lamiales; Lamiaceae.